AAAAGAUUAGUACUAAUAGUCAGGUGUACAAUUAGCUUGAAACUAAGAAGGGGGGUUCGAGUCCCCCAUCUUUUA
This 75-nucleotide transfer RNA is filed under the name Gekko swinhonis (Peking gecko). Its description in RNAcentral is "tRNA-Ser". It matches the Rfam family "tRNA". Rfam says of the family: Transfer RNA (tRNA) molecules are approximately 80 nucleotides in length. Their secondary structure includes four short double-helical elements and three loops (D, anti-codon, and T loops). The record is from RNAcentral. Lineage: Eukaryota; Metazoa; Chordata; Lepidosauria; Squamata; Gekkonidae.